UACGAAGGGUGCGAGCGUUAUUCGGAAUCACUGGGCGUAAAGAGCGCAAAGGUGGCUUUGUAAGUUGGCUGUUAAAGACCAUGACUUAAUCGUGGGAAAGCAGCCAAUACUGCUAGGCUAGAGGGCGAGAGAGAGGAGUGGAAUUCUUGGAGUAGCGGUAAAAUGCGUAGAUCUCAAGAGGAACACCGAUGGCGAAGGCAGCUCCUUGGCUCGUUCCUGACACUCAAGCGCGAAAGCGUGGGGAGCAAAC
RNAcentral lists this ribosomal RNA (250 nucleotides) under uncultured bacterium. RNAcentral describes it as "partial 16S ribosomal RNA". It matches the Rfam family "Bacterial small subunit ribosomal RNA", at positions 524 to 773 of the family's 1533-position model. The record is from RNAcentral.